This 1105-nucleotide ribosomal RNA is filed under the name Salmonella enterica. Its description in RNAcentral is "partial 23S ribosomal RNA". It matches the Rfam family "Bacterial large subunit ribosomal RNA", at positions 1076 to 2164 of the family's 2925-position model. RNAcentral also lists the same sequence under 3 other names. The record is from RNAcentral. Lineage: Bacteria; Pseudomonadati; Pseudomonadota; Gammaproteobacteria; Enterobacterales; Enterobacteriaceae.
UGGGAAGGCCCAGACAGCCAGGAUGUUGGCUUAGAAGCAGCCAUCAUUUAAAGAAAGCGUAAUAGCUCACUGGUCGAGUCGGCCUGCGCGGAAGAUGUAACGGGGCUAAACCAUGCACCGAAGCUGCGGCAGCGACACCGUGUGUUGUUGGGUAGGGGAGCGUUCUGUAAGCCUGUGAAGGUGUGCUGUGAGGCAUGCUGGAGGUAUCAGAAGUGCGAAUGCUGACAUAAGUAACGAUAAAGCGGGUGAAAAGCCCGCUCGCCGGAAGACCAAGGGUUCCUGUCCAACGUUAAUCGGGGCAGGGUGAGUCGACCCCUAAGGCGAGGCCGAAAGGCGUAGUCGAUGGGAAACGGGUUAAUAUUCCCGUACUUGGUGUUACUGCGAAGGGGGGACGGAGAAGGCUAUGUUGGCCGGGCGACGGUUGUCCCGGUUUAAGCGUGUAGGUAUGUGUUCCAGGUAAAUCCGGUUCACUUUAACACUGAGGCGUGACGACGAGGCACUACGGUGCUGAAGCAACAAAUGCCCUGCUUCCAGGAAAAGCCUCUAAGCAUCAGGUAACAUCAAAUCGUACCCCAAACCGACACAGGUGGUCAGGUAGAGAAUACCAAGGCGCUUGAGAGAACUCGGGUGAAGGAACUAGGCAAAAUGGUGCCGUAACUUCGGGAGAAGGCACGCUGACACGUAGGUGAAGUGAUUUACUCACGGAGCUGAAGUCAGCCGAAGAUACCAGCUGGCUGCAACUGUUUAUUAAAAACACAGCACUGUGCAAACACGAAAGUGGACGUAUACGGUGUGACGCCUGCCCGGUGCCGGAAGGUUAAUUGAUGGGGUCAGCGCAAGCGAAGCUCCUGAUCGAAGCCCCGGUAAACGGCGGCCGUAACUAUAACGGUCCUAAGGUAGCGAAAUUCCUUGUCGGGUAAGUUCCGACCUGCACGAAUGGCGUAAUGAUGGCCAGGCUGUCUCCACCCGAGACUCAGUGAAAUUGAACUCGCUGUGAAGAUGCAGUGUACCCGCGGCAAGACGGAAAGACCCCGUGAACCUUUACUAUAGCUUGACACUGAACAUUGAGCCUUGAUGUGUAGGAUAGGUGGGAGGCUUUGAAGUG